RNAcentral lists this transfer RNA (65 nucleotides) under Hediste japonica. RNAcentral's name for it is "tRNA-Ile". Lineage: Eukaryota; Metazoa; Annelida; Polychaeta; Phyllodocida; Nereididae. The record is from RNAcentral.
GAUGCUGCGCCGGACGAACGGAUAACUUUGAUGACGUUAAAUAUGAGGCUUCGCCUCCAGCAUCU